GAUGAACGCUAGCGGCAGGCUUAACACAUGCAAGUCGAGGGGUAACAGGGAGCUUGCUCCGCUGACGACCGGCGCACGGGUGCGUAACGCGUAUAGAACCUACCUUUUACAGAGGGAUAGCCUUUAGAAAUGAAGAUUAAUACCUCAUAGUAUUGCGAGAUGGCAUCAUUUAGUAAUUAAAGAUUUAUCGGUAAAAGAUGGCUAUGCGUCCUAUUAGCUAGAUGGUAAGGUAACGGCUUACCAUGGCAACGAUAGGUAGGGGUCCUGAGAGGGAGAUCCCCCACACUGGUACUGAGACACGGACCAGACUCCUACGGGAGGCAGCAGUGAGGAAUAUUGGGCAAUGGAGGCAACUCUGACCCAGCCAUGCCGCGUGCAGGAAGACGGCCCUAUGGGUUGUAAACUGCUUUUAUACAGGAAGAAACACAACUACGUGUAGUUGCUUGACGGUACUGUAAGAUAAGCACCGGCUAACUCCGUGCCAGCCGCCGCGGUAA
RNAcentral lists this ribosomal RNA (497 nucleotides) under uncultured bacterium. RNAcentral describes it as "bacterial SSU rRNA". It matches the Rfam family "Bacterial small subunit ribosomal RNA", at positions 28 to 523 of the family's 1533-position model. The record is from RNAcentral.